Non-coding RNA from Triticum urartu, 101 nucleotides. The record is from Rfam. NCBI's taxonomy places the organism in Eukaryota, Viridiplantae, Streptophyta, Magnoliopsida, Poales, Poaceae.
GUGGUACUCCCUCCGUUCGGAAUUACUUGUCUCGGAUAUGGAUGUAUCUUCUAGAUACAUCCAUAUCCGAGACAAGUAAUUCCGAACGGAGGGAGUAAUUG